Molecule: ribosomal RNA, 117 nt
Filed under: Bryobacterales bacterium
Lineage: Bacteria; Pseudomonadati; Acidobacteriota; Terriglobia; Bryobacterales
Source: RNAcentral
UCGGGUGGUUCUAGCGAGGGGGCCACACCUGUUCCCAUCCCGAACACAGUAGUUAAGCCCCUCAGCCCCGAUGGUACUGCGCGGGCAACUGCGUGGGAGAGUAGGACGCCGCCCGAU